Long non-coding RNA from Ostrea edulis (European flat oyster), 3239 nucleotides. RefSeq lists it as uncharacterized. The record is from RefSeq and is a predicted model, not a curated record. NCBI's taxonomy places the organism in Eukaryota, Metazoa, Mollusca, Bivalvia, Ostreida, Ostreidae. The transcript has 4 exons.
UAGACUUUUGAAAUAGUUUAUUAUACCCCCCGCAACAAGUUGUGUGUGUGUGGGGGGGUAUACUGGAAUCGGGAUGUCCGUCUGUCUGUUCGUCCGUCUGUAGACGCAAUGGUUUCCGGGCUCUAAAGCAUUAUCCUUUCCACCCACCGUCACCAUAUCAUAUAUAUGGACUACCCAUGGGAUGAAGAUGUUCCCUAUCGAUUUUGGGGUCAAAAGGUCAAAGGUCACGCGCACUGGACAUCAAAGUAGCAAUAUGGUUUCCAUUUAAAUUUUUUAACGGCUUUUUUCAUCGCAUGGAGAUGCUGUGUUCCUAGAUACCUUUUGGAUCAUAAUAUUGAAGUUUUACCUAUUUCCAACACCCUUUAGGAGAUUGGGGUAAGCGAGGGGUAUUCUUAGUGAGCAUUGCUCACAGUACCUCUUGUUUUAACACGUUGUUUUUUUUUACAAUAACUAUCGGAAAAGACUAACAAAAUCGAUGUUCCUAUCAUGCAUAAAUCUAAAUAAAUCAUUGAUUUUGCAAAAUCUGAUGACAUCAAAGGAGGGUGGAAUUACUUUAAGUUAUGUUUAGUGCUGUGUGUAUAUAAACAUGCACUCAUAUAAUUAUAUCUUCCCUCUUCCAGGGGGAGACAUAUUGUAUUUGUACUUUCUGUCCGUCCUUCCUUCUGUCACAAAAUCUUGUGAACGCUUCUCCACCUAUAUGGCUUAUCAGAUAGACUUGAAACUUUGUACAAUGCUUCAUUGUCAUUUGUAGAUGUGAAUAUUGUUGGGACGGGAGGAUCCAAUUGUUUUCCUAAGAGUUAUAGUGGAUCUAAGAGGGGUGGAAGAUGUAAAAUAGCUUAUGAACUCUUCUCCUCCCAUAUGGCUUAUUGGAUAGACUUGAAACUUUGUACAAUGCUUAAUUGUCAUUUGUAUAUGUGCAUAUUGUCGGAAUGGGAGGAUCCAAAGUUUUUCCUAAAAGAUAUAGUGGAUCUAAAAGGGGUGGAGGAUGUUAAAAUACCUUGUGAACACUUCUCCUAUAUGGCUUAUCUGAUAGACUUGAGAAUUUGUACAAUGCUUCAAUGCCAUUUGUAGAUGUGCAAGUUGUAGGGACAGGAGGAUCCAAUUGCUAUCCUUAAAGUUAAAGUGGAUCUGAGGGGUGUAGGGUAUAAAAUAGUGUGUGAACGCUUCUCCUCCUAUAUGGCUUAUCAGAGUUCAUGUCUAUCUUCCUGCCCAUGCUUUCUCCUCCAUACUAUUCAAUACAUUAAGGGGGAUGUUUCCUAUAUUUUACGAAUUAAUUGAUUGAUUGACAACAAACUUGGUACAGUUGUACAGCAUAUAUAAGGAGUAGAUUACCCCUAUUGAUUCUUAGGUCACAUGGUCAGUCCACUCUUGACAUAGGAAGGUAUUGUCUGCUCAAUAUUUUGAAUUGGUGUAACUACUAUCAAUUAAAUGAGGCACGGGUAUAACCCUUUCAAUUUUGCAACUUGGGGGGCAUAUGUGUUUUAGAAACAUCUCUUGUGUUGAAUUAUAUGAAUUACAGUUUUUAGUGUGCUCAGUUUAGAGAAUAGCAUAAAAGUAUUUGAUAAUUAAAUAUCUUGCAGAUUGGCAGUUUACUCCAUGCACCGACAGGAAUGAUAAACUGUGAUAUUCGUAAAUGGAACUGGGACACGUUCUAAAUAUACUCAGGGACAGAAUGAUGUGCAGCAAGGCUCGUCAUGGAUUUUACCAAAUACAGAACACUGCAAGGCUUGCAAAAUGAAGACCUCAGUAAAAAAAAUUCUAAAUUAUCCACUAAUGGCAGCUCACUACCUGCCCCUUGUGAUGUUAAAAGAGGCCGUUGUUCUCAUUUGUUCCAAAACAGGAAUGGCAUAUGAGGAGGCCAACAGAAGAUGCACCUCCACUGACCUCCACGGAGUGUGCACUCACAAAACGAAUAAAUUAUUAUUUCUUUUGUUUGUAAUUGUAUAUUGUCAACAAGGUCAAAGGCACUUGAUCCGAUGCCAAACUUUUGCAUUUCUUUUGCUUUGUGGUAAAUUUUCUUCAGCAACAUUAACAUUGUUUAAAUUGUUUUCUUUGGAGAGUUUACAUGUACACAUGGAUAAUUUGUAUAUUAGAAUUAUAGCAUUGUUUAAUUCAACUCAUUCUUAUCAUAGAGGUUAUUAUAUACUGCAGGCAACGACUUGUAAAGGGUAUACUGUUUUAACUUACAUGCAAAGCAGUAUUAUGAAACUCUGUAGUUGAUAAGGACAUAUAUCACAUAUCGAUAUGCAUAUUUACAGGAAACUCUGAUGUAUUUUAAAUCUGAACGUUAAUUUAAAAGUGGGGAGAAAUAGCAUUGGAUGAAAAAAGACACAUAUGAAGAAAAUUAUUCCAUACAUAAAUACUUUUUAGCUCACCUGAGCUGAAAGCUCAAGUGAGCUUUUCUGAUCGCCUGUUGUUCAUUGUCUGUCCGUGAUUAAACAUUUUAUAUUUUCUCCAGAAGCACUGGGCCAAUAAUAACCAAACUUAGCCAAAAGUAUCCUUGGGUAAAGGGCUUUCGAGUUUGUUCAAAUGAAGGGCCAUGCCCUCUUCAAAGGGGAGAUGACCACAAAAAUAGGGUGGGUCAUUUAAUUUGUUUAUCAAGAACCAUUGGGCCAGAAGAGCUGAAAUGUACAUGAAAGCUUCCUGACAUAGUACAGAUCCAAGUUUAUUGAAAUCAUGGCCUCCAGGGGUUGUAUGGGGCCACAAUAGAGAAUCAAAGUUUUACAUACAAUUAUUCAGGAAAACUCUUUCAAUAUGAGCCAAGGUGGCUCAGGUGAGCGAUGUGGCCCAUGGACCUCUUGUUCAACAUAUAGAAUAAAUAGUUAUGUUGUAUUUCCCAUGGAACAUUGAAACGUUUAAUGCGUUUACCAAUUAAUCACUGAAAGAAAGAUAAAAUUGUUGUUUCAUAUGUUUUAUGAAAACUUAAAGAUGUUUCAUUUCUUUUCAUGAAAGACCCCUUAAUUACCCAGUAAUAAAUAAUCAAUUCUUAACAGAUUAUGUAAAUUUGAUUUAUAUUAAGGAUGUUUGAUCUGAUUACCCAUCAUUAUCAAUCUGUCUAAUAUGGCCAUCAUGUGUUACUAUUAAUUGCUACGCAAUCUUGGAGCAUGAGGUAGAAUGCGAGCCAGCUCUUUCAUAAGUACAUGUAUCUGGAAAAUAUUUCAAUGUCAAAGGUUACAACAAUGUGAUAAUUUAAUCAUUGUAUGUCUAAGGUGUUGAUAAUAAAACUGUUAUCUGUUCAA